Molecule: long non-coding RNA, 675 nt
Organism: Portunus trituberculatus (swimming crab)
Lineage: Eukaryota; Metazoa; Arthropoda; Malacostraca; Decapoda; Portunidae
Exons: 2
Source: RefSeq, a predicted model, not a curated record
UAGUUGCUUAUAUUAGUGUCUGCCUUUCUCUCCCCUUCCCCCAACUCUCUCACUCUCAGCCUCACUCUCUCUCUCUCUCUCUCUCUCUCUCUCUCUCUCUCUCUCUCUCUCUCUCUCUCUCUCUCUCUCUCUGAGUUUCCUAAGGUUAUCCAACUUAGCUGCAAGAAACCUCACUAGUGGUUUGUGUCCACCGCAGUGCCCUGGCGAGGCGUCUGUGCCUGACUGGUGGUGGUAGCUGCUGUGUGUGCCCCCUGCUCCUCAGCCCCUCCUCCACCCUGCCGGCACAAUCAAGGGAGUGUUAAAAUAAAAACAUACAGGCAAAAAAUAAAAGGGAUCAGAUCUUACAAGGAAAAAAUGAUCCAAAAUAGAGUUAUAACUGACCUUCUUAACAGGUUGUGGUGAUCUUUGCUUGGGUGCCUCCUUCCCUCCUAAAAUGCUCUCUAUCAUGGUGUCCGCACUUACACCGGUCUGUGGGAGAGAAAGAGAGAGAGAGUGAGAGGGCAGAAUGAAAGAGAGAGAGUGUGAUAGAGAGAGAAAGGAAGUGAAAAAUGAUAAAGAGAGAAUGGGAUAUUUUUGUGAUAGAUAGUAUUGAGGUGUUAUCAGCAGAGAGAGAGAGAGAGAGAGAGAGAGAGAGAGAGAGAGAGAGAGAGAGAGAGAGAGAGAGAGAGAGAGAGA